This 497-nucleotide ribosomal RNA is filed under the name uncultured bacterium. Its description in RNAcentral is "partial 16S ribosomal RNA". It matches the Rfam family "Bacterial small subunit ribosomal RNA", at positions 28 to 507 of the family's 1533-position model. The record is from RNAcentral.
GAUGAACGCUGGCGGCGUGCCUAAUACAUGCAAGUCGAGCGAACGGACGAGAAGCUUGCUUCUCUGAUGUUAGCGGCGGACGGGUGAGUAACACGUGGAUAACCUACCUAUAAGACUGGGAUAACUUCGGGAAACCGGAGCUAAUACCGGAUAAUAUUUUGAACCGCAUGGUUCAAAAGUGAAAGACGGUCUUGCUGUCACUUAUAGAUGGAUCCGCGCUGCAUUAGCUAGUUGGUAAGGUAACGGCUUACCAAGGCAACGAUGCAUAGCCGACCUGAGAGGGUGAUCGGCCACACUGGAACUGAGACACGGUCCAGACUCCUACGGGAGGCAGCAGUAGGGAAUCUUCCGCAAAGGGCGAAAGCCUGACGGAGCAACGCCGCGUGAGUGAUGAAGGUCUUCGGAUCGUAAAACUCUGUUAUUAGGGAAGAACAUAUGUGUGAGUAACUGUGCACAUCUUGACGGUACCUAAUCAGAAAGCCACGGCUAACUACGUG